CCAUCUUUUUAUUUUUCAUCCUGUUCAAAUAAAAGGAUAGGAUAACCUCAGCGUAAACGUAUCAACUUGCAGUGAUGAACACCGAGUUGCUACGUUUUUUU
Molecule: non-coding RNA, 101 nt
Organism: Catellicoccus marimammalium M35/04/3
Lineage: Bacteria; Bacillati; Bacillota; Bacilli; Lactobacillales; Enterococcaceae
Source: Rfam